Molecule: non-coding RNA, 24 nt
Filed under: Arabidopsis thaliana (thale cress)
Lineage: Eukaryota; Viridiplantae; Streptophyta; Magnoliopsida; Brassicales; Brassicaceae
Source: RNAcentral
AUGUUCUAAUUGACUAGUUGAUAC